Molecule: long non-coding RNA, 663 nt
Organism: Gallus gallus (chicken)
Lineage: Eukaryota; Metazoa; Chordata; Aves; Galliformes; Phasianidae
Exons: 2
Source: RefSeq, a predicted model, not a curated record
GACUUACGUUGGAAUGGACCUUACAGACCAUCCAAUUCCAACCCCCUGCCAUGGGCAGGAUUGCCAACCACCAGGGCAGGCUGCCCAGGGCCCCAUCUAACCUGGCCAUGAAGCUUGCUCUGAGAAGCAUCGCAAGUAAAUCUCCACCAUCCUGUCCUCGUUGGCACUUUGCUUUCUACUAAACUCUGGCAAAACCAUAUGCCACACUGGCAAAGCUGGAAGAGAAAGAAAUGGAAGAGAGUAAUCAGCACACAGUGAGCAGUACGGCUGCUUCCUUCCACCUGCCAGCUCCAUGCUGACCCCAGCAGCCAUGGGUGAUGAGUAUUUCAUGACCCACCGCCCUCUCAUUCACCAGAAGAAAAUGGAGAAGUAAUUGCCAGGGCACACCUGCAGCUGGAGGAUAAGUCAUUGCCCUGGGUCUGCUGAGUCAGAAGAACUGAAACAGCCACUGAAGCCAGAAAAUGAGCAUUCUUGUACAAUCCAGAGCUGAUGUCCAGACAGGAAAUAGAAAUGGACUUUGGAAUAAAAGUUAACAAUUGCAAAUGAAUAAAAAUGGGAGCAACACUACCAGAAGCCCUUCAUCCUGAUGAUGUCAUGGUUCCCAAAUGCCCUUCAGAAAUGCAAAUUGCCUACAAUGUAAUAAAAAGGGCAUUUUCUAGAGUG